RNAcentral lists this long non-coding RNA (421 nucleotides) under Equus caballus (horse). RNAcentral's name for it is "lncRNA (ENSECAG00000060328.1)". Lineage: Eukaryota; Metazoa; Chordata; Mammalia; Perissodactyla; Equidae. The record is from RNAcentral.
CUCACCGGACCCAAUGGGGAGCUCUGGAUGGCAGAUGGGCAUAUGGAUGUACCAUGAGUUACUGAAUCACCUUCUAUUAAUGGAUGUUUGGGUUCCCUUUCCAUGCCAUUACGAACAUUGCUGUCGCAAACACCAUCAUUAUGUGCAUCUUUGCAUAAGGUGCUCGUCCAGGCGGCUGCAAAAGAAAGAAGAGUGAGCCGCACCAGAAGGAGGAUGAGCAAGGACGGCCAGGGAAGGAGCACCUGAAGCUGCAAGCCCCUCACUCUCAAGCACCCCCACCCUCAGGAGAACACACGACGACAUGCAUAAGAAUGGUCGCUCAGGCAUUGUUUGUCACUGCCAAACCAAACCUCACUCCUGCAAUGAAACAGACAGCAGUGGGAGGUGAACGACUUAGAACCUCACAUAUUAACACGAAAAA